Molecule: ribosomal RNA, 253 nt
Filed under: uncultured bacterium
Lineage: Bacteria
Description: partial 16S ribosomal RNA
Rfam family: Bacterial small subunit ribosomal RNA
Source: RNAcentral
UACGUAGGGUGCGAGCGUUGUUCGGAAUUACUGGGCGUAAAGGGCGCGCAGGCGGCGAGUUUUGUCAGGCGUGAAAGCCCCGGGCUCAACCUGGGAAUUGCGCUUGAAACGGGCUUGCUUGAGACCGGGAGAGGAGAGUGGAAUUCCCAGUGUAGAGGUGAAAUUCGUAGAUAUUGGGAAGAACACCGGUGGCGAAGGCGGCUCUCUGGGCCGGAUCUGACGCUGAGGCGCGAAAGCGUGGGGAGCAAACAGG